CGUUGGUGUUUCGAUGUAGUCGUUGCCUUUUCUUUCAACUGAUCAGUUCUUCGCUCCUAAUCGGCUGUUGUCUAAAGUCUGUUUCUUUGCGCCUAUGGAACCUAAAUAUUUUUAAAUCGGAAACACAUAUAGUUGGGUAGGACGAGCAAUCCAAGUCGUUGAUCGUGUGUGUGCUUGUAAAGCUAUCUCGUGCAUGCGUAAAAUUGUAUAGACUUUGGUGUGGAUUUAAGCUUUUAAGUGCGAUCACAAAUACGCGUUGUCAAUAAAUUAUCGUCAACAUUCAAAAGGCUCCCAGUUGGAGAAGAUUGAACGGAUGCCGAUAUAAUUUGUUCAAUGGUUGUCUUCUAUUUGUUUUUGGUAACAUAAAUAUUAAUCACACACACACACACUAACAGCUUGGUCAAGAGAACAUUGUUCAGCAUCCAUUAAAGUAUUAUUAUAUUGUAUUGAUGUUGAUAAAUUCAAGUUCCUUAAAUGAUUCCGGUAAAUUAUAAUUGGACAACAAAACACAUGAACUAUGAUAAAAAUUGUGUAUCUGUAUAAAUUACACAGGAAUACAAGUUUAAAUUAGUAAAAAUAAUAGGUACUACAAACAAUGAUACUAUAUCUAUCAUUAAUUGUUGAUACAUUAUACUUCAAAUGCGAAUAAGAUAUAAGGAAUAUUACAAAAAUAGUUGUCUUCAAAUAAGCUGUUAACUUUUUUGCUCUAUCGACA
Molecule: long non-coding RNA, 715 nt
Organism: Rhopalosiphum padi (bird cherry-oat aphid)
Lineage: Eukaryota; Metazoa; Arthropoda; Insecta; Hemiptera; Aphididae
Exons: 3
Source: RefSeq, a predicted model, not a curated record